CCUGGCUCAGGAUGAACNCUGNCGGCGUGCUUAACACAUGCAAGUCGAACGAUGAACCUCACUUGUGGGGGGAUUAGUGGCGAACGGGUGAGUAACACGUGAGUAACCUGCCCUUGACUCUGGGAUAAACCUGGGAAACCGGGUCUAAUACUGGANACGACCUUCUGGCGCAUNCCAUGUUGGUGGAAAGCUUUUGUGGUUUUGGAUGGACUCGCGGCCUAUCAGCUUGUUGGUGGGGUAAUGGCCUACCAAGGCGACGACGGGUAGCCGGCCUGAGAGGGUGACCGGCCACACUGGGACUGAGACACGGCCCAGACUCCUACGGGAGGCAGCAGUGGGGAAUAUUGCACAAUGGGCGCAAGCCUGAUGCAGCGACGCCGCGUGAGGGAUGAAGGCCUUCGGGUUGUAAACCUCUUUCAGUAGGGAAGAAGCCGGCCCUUCGGGUUGGUGACGGUACCUGCAGAAGAAGCGCCGGCUAACUACGUGCCAGCAGCCGCGGUAAUACGUAGGGCGCAAGCGUUAUCCGGAAUUAUUGGGCGUAAAGAGCUCGUAGGCGGUUUGUCGCGUCUGCCGUGAAAGUCCGGGGCUUAACCCCGGAUCUGCGGUGGGUACGGGCAGACUAGAGUGCAGUAGGGGAGACUGGAAUUCCUGGUGUAGCGGUGAAAUGCGCAGAUAUCAGGAGGAACACCGAUGGCGAAGGCAGGUCUCUGGGCUGUAACUGACGCUGAGGAGCGAAAGCAUGGGGAGCGAACAGGAUUAGAUACCCUGGUAGUCCAUNCCGUAAACGUUGGGCACUAGGUGUGGGGGACAUUCCACGUUUUCCGCGCCGUAGCUAACGCAUUAAGUNCCCCGCCUGGGGAGUACGGCCGCAAGGCUAAAACUCAAAGGAAUUGACGGGGGCCCGCACAAGCGGCGGAGCAUGCGGAUUAAUUCGAUGCAACGCGAAGAACCUUACCAAGGCUUGACAUGAACCGGAAUGAUGCAGAGAUGUGUCAGCCACUUGUGGCCGGUUUACAGGUGGUGCAUGGUUGUCGUCAGCUCGUGUCGUGAGAUGUUGGGUUAAGUCCCGCAACGAGCGCAACCCUCGUUCCAUGUUGCCAGCGGGUUAUGCCGGGGACUCAUGGGAGACUGCCGGGGUCAACUCGGAGGAAGGUGGGGACGACGUCAAAUCAUCAUGCCCCUUAUGUCUUGGGCUUCACGCAUGCUACAAUGGCCGGUACAAAGGGUUGCGAUACUGUGAGGUGGAGCUAAUCCCAAAAAGCCGGUCUCAGUUCGGAUUGAGGUCUGCAACUCGACCUCAUGAAGUUGGAGUCGCUAGUAAUCGCAGAUCAGCAACGCUGCGGUG
This 1345-nucleotide ribosomal RNA is filed under the name Arthrobacter sp. 'SMCC ZAT277'. RNAcentral describes it as "bacterial SSU rRNA". It matches the Rfam family "Bacterial small subunit ribosomal RNA", at positions 18 to 1364 of the family's 1533-position model. The record is from RNAcentral. Lineage: Bacteria; Bacillati; Actinomycetota; Actinomycetes; Micrococcales; Micrococcaceae.